Molecule: long non-coding RNA, 1002 nt
Filed under: Homo sapiens (human)
Lineage: Eukaryota; Metazoa; Chordata; Mammalia; Primates; Hominidae
Description: LHRI_LNC804.1
Source: RNAcentral
GCACGGCCUGCUCCAGAGGUUCCCCUGGGGUCAGGCUGAAGCCCACAUCAGCUGAGACCACGUGCUUGCUUUGCUACUUCCCCUGCCCCAUUCUGCUUCCCUCACUCCCCUUCUCCUGAAAGCAUGCCCCAAUUCAUCGCUUGGAUGAGACUCUCCAUCUCAGGCUCUGCUUCUAGGGAACCCAGUCUAAGUCACGAUCCAUUCUGGAAGACCUUAACACUUUCCACUGACUGUGAGAGCUGCCGAAUACAUUUUGACCCAUGGGUGGUUCCUGUCCUUGGUGAUUCCCCGACCUCUGGUGAGAUCUUUUCCUCUCUGGCAAGCCUCUGGAUGUUCUGACUUCAGAGGGGUUCUGGCUGCAGCUUUAACUCAGCCAUAUGUUGUGACAGCUCUUGGAGCAGCAUUACACGGGAGCAAUAUCCUUCCUGCUAAUUGGAUCUCAGAAUUCAUUUUCGGACCAAAGACAUCAAAUAAACCCAGGAAAUACGAAGCCGUUUGCAGUUAUGACUUGAGACGAAUUGAGUUGUUCAUCCUCUAAAGUUGUGUUCUGUUCCUUAUCAGCCUCAUCUGAAAUCUCAGACACAAAAGCAGAGAUGUUUCUGCCAGGAGGGGCGGAAAGUUCGGUCUGGUUUUGAUAUGUGUCUGGAGAUGAUAAACUUGGGAAGGGAAAUAUAGCAGAUCCAAUCCUCCCUCCCCCAUCUCCAUUAGGUCUUUGGCCUUGAUAGAUUUCAAUAUCCUGUGCAGCUGAUGUCUGACCCACGCAUCAAGAAUACAGCCUUCACACACCUGCCGUGAGAAGCCCUCUAUGACCUUCUGCAGAGGGAGGGAACUGCCUAAGAGCUGCUGAGUGCAGGAAUGCAGGGUGCUAAGAAGCAGGUACCCAGUUUGGGGUUAAAAUAUGUAUAAUAUAUCCAUUUGAAUACCCAUCAAUAAAUAUCAGUCAUGCUCACUUUUGGGUGCUGGGGGUUAUUGGAGAUAUUGAUUCAUUUGUUUUAUGAGUGG